GUGUCAGCAGCCGCGGUAAGACGAACCGUGCGAACGUUAUUCGGAAUCACUGGGCUUAAAGCGCGUGUAGGCGGACCGGCACGUCUGGUGCUGAAAUCCCCCGGCUCAACCGGGGAAGUGGCACGGAUACGACCGGUCUGGAGGGGGGUAGGGGGCGCCGGAACUUCCGGUGGAGCGGUGAAAUGCGUUGAGAUCGGAAGGAACGCCCGUGGCGAAAGCGGGCGCCUGGACCCCACCUGACGCUGAGACGCGAAAGCCAGGGGAGCGAACGGGAUUAGAUACCCCUGUAGUCC
This 293-nucleotide ribosomal RNA is filed under the name uncultured bacterium. RNAcentral describes it as "partial 16S ribosomal RNA". It matches the Rfam family "Bacterial small subunit ribosomal RNA", at positions 505 to 796 of the family's 1533-position model. The record is from RNAcentral.